AGUGAACGCUGGCGGUAGGCCUAACACAUGCGAGUCGAACGGCAGCACAGUAAGAGCUUGCUCUUACGGGUGGCGAGUGGCGGACGGGUGAGGAAUACAUCGGAAUCUACUUUUUCGUGGGGGAUAACGUAGGGAAACUUACGCUAAUACCGCAUACGACCUACGGGUGAAAGCAGGGGAUCUUCGGACCUUGCGCGAUUGAAUGAGCCGAUGUCGGAUUAGCUAGUUGGCUGGGUAAAGGCCCACCAAGGCGACGAUCCGUAGCUGGUCUGAGAGGAUGAUCAGCCACACUGGAACUGAGACACGGUCCAGACUCCUACGGGAGGCAGCAGUGGGGAAUAUUGGACAAUGGGCGCAAGCCUGAUCCAGCCAUACCGCGUGGGUGAAGAAGGCCUUCGGGUUGUAAAGCCCUUUUGUUGGGAAAGAAAAGCAGCAGGUUAAUACCCCGCUGUUCUGACGGUACCCAAAGAAUAAGCACCGGCUAACUUCGUG
This 492-nucleotide ribosomal RNA is filed under the name uncultured bacterium. RNAcentral describes it as "partial 16S ribosomal RNA". It matches the Rfam family "Bacterial small subunit ribosomal RNA", at positions 29 to 507 of the family's 1533-position model. The record is from RNAcentral.